AUGCUAGAUACCACAGAAUGAAUCAAGACAGCCAGAUAUUCUUAGACUAUCAAACCCAAGAAAAAAGCUAUCAAUAAAACGACCUCAGAUGUUUGUGUACAUUUGUACAAAGAACGGAUAAAAAGCAAACUGAACUGGAGAACCUAGAGCUAGAAAGCAAAUCUGACCUCAAAGAUAUCAUUGAGAUUUGGUAGAAUAACACUCAAGGCUCAGUAGAGAAGUGGUUCACAUUCUGAUAACCUAAGUAUAUGUGCUAUGCUUCUGGAAGGAUACACCUUACUUAAAAGCUGAAUAGGGUGUGUGUGUGUGUGUGUAAGAAGUUGUUGUAAAUUGAAUCUAAUGACAUCCUCAUAGGAGAACAUCUAGGGAUUAGGGGGUGUACGUAUGAUGGCAAGUAUUUGAAAGAGCAUCCACAGAGAUAGAAAGAGAAGCACAUGAAUGGAAAGAAAAUUAAAUGAUGCAUUUGAAAAUCAAGUCACAAGCCUGGUAUGGAAGCAUGGAACUGUAGCAGUGGAUGACUACAAAUAACAGACAUCUACAGAGUUCCCUCUGCCCAAAGCGGCACAGCUAACUUUUUGGCUUCUUUUAAUAAAUUCAUCCUUCAAAAGGAGUUGGAACCAACAGCGGAGAAAGUUCUAUUCUGAAUGUGAUUCUCAUCAACAAGGCAGAGUUACUGCAUUAACAGUGAUGAGAAGUGGCCAAUUGGGAAGAAUUGACUGAUCCAUCUUAGCAUUUGAUAAAGAAGAACCAAGGCAGGAAGAAUUUGACAUGAAGUUUAGAUUUGGGGAAAGCAGAUUUCAAAAGGUUAGAAAAAGAAUAGCUGGGGAUCUUUGGAAUUCAACUUGGAAAAGAAGAAAAGCUCUCACAAAUAAAAUUCUGAAAUAAAAAUAAUAAAAUAAAACUUUUUUUAAAAUAAUGAAAUUCUUGACGACACCAAGAAAAAUAAUUGUAAUGAGGAGAAAGAAUUGCUUGGGAAACACGGUUUUAAAAGACAUGUAAGAAAAAAGCAAAAACAAGUAACAAAAGAAACUACAAAAAGAGAACUAGUCUUGUCAAAAUAGUGCAAAAUCUCAGAAGGAGCUGAGGCUGUUGAGAUAAACUGAUGACAAGGAUGACAGCUUGGAGAGAGGUGGAAAAGCAAAGAAGAGAUAAGACCGGCACCAUAUUGGGGCAAUGCUAAUAGAUAGUCACAGCUACUCAACUCAUAUUUGAUUUCUUUGUUCUUGGUCAGAGUGUUUGUUUGGACUUGACAAGGAUUGAACAAAGCUGAUAAGAAGUUAAUACCCAAGAUAAGAAAAUGGCAAGGAAACAUCUAGCUGCCUUUGAUGAAUCCAAAAACGAAGGAAGGGCAGAUGAAAAAUAGCUAAUACAACUGAGCCACUAUCUCUGAUCAUUUUAAUUUUAUGGAUAAGGGAAGAGGAACUCUAAGAUUGGAAAAGGACAAGAUAUUGAUUUUUAAGCAGAAGAAAAUAAUUGAACUUGCAAUCCAUAGACCAAUGAGCUUGACCUUGAUUCUGGGGGAAAUUCUAUAACAUAAAAAAGAGCAGAACUCUAGAAAUGGGAGCGGUGAUUAUUCAUACAGUCUUGACCAACUUUAUCAAAUGCGAUAUCUAAAAGCUAUUUUUUGAUGAUUAAGUGGUCAAAGGAUAUGAUUGCACAGUACAAAAAAGGGGGUGGCUCUCCACAGCUAUAUGAAAACAUGUUCCAGGUCACUAAAAAGAAGAGAAAUAUAGAUGAGAAUUCAAAUCCUUCAAAUUGACAAAUAUAAGAGAUGGAAAUAAGUCAAUGUUGGAAGGACUGUGGCUAGACAGGCAUGAAACUGCAUUGGAAAAAACAUUUUGGAACUAUGGGAGAAAAGUGAUUUAACUAUUCAUAUCCUUUGAUACCGCAACCCAUUAUUGAGUAUAUGUCACAAAGAAGUCCAUGACAGACACAUCCUAUAUCCAAUGCAAUGGAUACAACAUAUCUGGUGCUUAAAAAUGUUUGCUGGCUUCAAUUGGAAGCAAAAUCUAAAAACCGUCAGACUUCAGUUUCAGGGCAGUGGCCAUCCAGUCUUGUUUCUGAGGUCAGGGGAUGAAUUACAUGUCCCUUCUUUUUGGGGUCAGGAAUUACAACUGCUCUGAAUGUUGUGCACGCUAUCAGAUGUGGGUGCUGUAUUGUGACUCAUUCUUUCUCUUUAUUGUGAGGAUUCUUUGGGGGAGGGAAUUAUUUGUGAAGCGGCUGGGAUAUUGAAAGCAGAAAGUAUUCAUUAAACAUUAAGAAGCAAAGAGAACAGGUUAUGCCAGACUAAUCUAAUUUUCCUUUUUGAUAAGGUUACUAGACUAGUAGAAAAGUGGAAUGUUAUUCAGAGAGUUGACUUAGCUUUUAGUAAUGCACUGGCCAGCCUCCUGUGCUAUUCUUGUGGCAGAGAUGGAGGGGUGUGGGGUAAACAAUAUGGCUAAGUGAAUUAGCAGCCAGUUGAGUGGUCAGACCCAGAGCUUCGUCUCCAGUGGUUGAUGUCCACUAGCAAGGUCUCUGAUGGAGUGCCCUGGGGAGCUGUCCUUAGUGCUGAACUGUCUAACAUUUUGGGUAAUUACUAAAGAUGGUGUGCUCGUGAAAUCUGCAGACAGCACAAAGCUGGGAGAAGCAGCUAACACUUGAUGACAGAAUCAGGAUCCAAAAAAAAAAAAAAAAAAAUCACGAUAGGACAUUGAGCCAAAUAAAAGAUGAGAUGUAACAGGGAUACGCUUCUAUAUUAUUAUAUUUGGGAGGAUGCAAAAAAAAAAAUCAUCACAAGAAAAAAAUGAGGGAGAUGGUGCUAGGUAACAGUUUCUCUAUAAAGAUCUGUUGUUUUUUAAUUUUAAACUGUAAGAUCUGCCAUACAGCCAAAGAAGCCAAUUUGAUUUUAAUCUCUUGUUAGUUCAGAUUAAGGGAAGUGAAUGAGAAUCCUGUUGUACUAUGUUCUGCUCAGAUCACUUCUGGAGUAAUAUGGGGGUAUGGUAUGGUCUGGUAUGGUCACCAGAGGCUGGAGAUCAUUCAGAGGAAGGUGAUAGGACAGAAAAAGGCUAACCCAAUUAUGGGAAUUGAUUGAAGGAAUUGAGAACAGUCCAUUUAGAGAAGAGGUUUGGUUGUGAAGGGCAUAUGAGUGCUGUCUUUAGGUAUCUGAAAGGCUGAAUCAAAAUUAGCUUAGUUCUGCUCAGCUUGAAGGAGCAAUGGGUCAAAGGCCAAUCGAGAUGGUAGGAGAGCCAAACUUCCUCCAGAUAUGGAAAGGGCUGCCUUGGAUGGAGAUUCUCCUCAUCAGAGGUCACUGACCCUUUGUCUUUCAUGCUAAAAAGAGGGUUCUUUUCUGCUCCUGGUUGAGCACGAUCACUCGGAGGUUGGAAGUCCCUUAGAUUCUGGGGUUCUGUGAGCCUCUGGCAACUCCAUGUUUUCAUACAACCCUAAUUACAGCUAAACCCUCAUGCAUGACUCGCUGAGUUUGUUGUGACAUCUGUUGUUGAUGUUCUCCAAGUAUGUGUCUAACAUGGCAACAAACUGGAGCAAUGGAUAGAGUUAGAAAGAGCUGAGUUCAAAUCCUGCUUCAUACACUAGAAGAAUGACCCUGAUCAAGUCAUUUAACUUUUGCCUCAGUUUCCUCAUCUGUAAAUUGAAGAUCAUAGUAGACUUUUCACAAGGUCUUUAAACUUUAAAAGCACUAUAUAAAUGCUAGCUAUUAUAUGAGGAAAGUGUGACAAUGGAGGUCAAGGAAGCAUCAGAGAGCACUCCUGUUUCUCCCAGGGCUACCACAGCUAGGCCCUUCAAGGGGCUAGAAAGCCAUUCUUUCCCUAUUUGCAAAGGAGCCAUUUGAUACUUUGGGACUACAAAAUGUCAGCUUGAUCCCCGGGCAACUCAAUGGUUAUUGAGUGAUGAUGUAGUAAAGGCUUGCUCUGUGCCUAGCACUGUGCUGUGUUGGAAAUAGACAAAAAAUACAGUCCCUCCCUCAAAAUACUCAGAGUUUGGGAGGAGAGAGAACAUGUAAACAACUGUGACUCUUCAAAAUAUAUACAGGGCAGAGGCAAAGGGGGAAGAGAUGCUGGCUGGGGAGCUCCGCUGGCAUUGGGAGACAUGGUGGAAACAGCUGCCCCAACCCCUCAGUGGGUCUAAAUCCAAACUCCAUCACCUUGUCCCUCCUCCCUAGGAUGAUUUGUCCCACCUGCUGCGUUGUGGAGGGUGGGAACCCAUCUUGGGCUGCUUAAUCCUAGAAUUCAGAACCAGAGAGAGCUCGGACAGCAGCCAGUCAGUCCCCUUGCUUUGGAGAUGAGGAAACGGGAGCCCCCGGACCCGCGACUGCCCCAAGUCCCGCUCUCCUCCCACCGGGCUUGCAUUUGCCCUCCCUCCCUGGGCUGCGGGGUCCGCCCAGACCCACAGGGCGAGGGCAUGCAAUCCCAGCACCCCCCGCGCACCGAUGUUCCCAAGGACUUUCCGCACGAUCCCCUUGGGGAGCGGUCCGGAGGGACGGUCACUCCCAUUUUCCGGAGGGAGGAAGCUGAGGCUCGGUCACUGGCUCCUGCCCUUUGCUUGUGCCAGUCUGAGAGUGGGGCCGGCCGGGGAGGACGGAUUUGUGAAGCCCCGGCGGCUGCCCCGCUCCCUGGAGCCAUGGCCUCCGACCCCGGCCCUCGCUCCCCACUAUGCUGCCUCUUACGGGAGGAGAGGAGCGGCUGGGCGCCUGCGGGGGGAGCGCGGCGGGGGGCUCUCCUACAGCGGCAGAGGAGAGCUCCGCGGGAAAGCUUGGGGAGCCGUUUGUGACUGCGUCAGCCCGGAGGCCCCUGACGGGGAGAGAGGAGGGAGAGGGGGGGACCAUCGCGGAGACAUCGGCUCCGGUCCUUUAGAGAGAAGUUGGGGCUGGGGGAGGGGGCCGGUCUCUGCCCUGUGGGGAGGGGAAGGCGGGGCCCCGGCCCCCGAGGGGCAGAGGAAGGACAGGUGGAGCCGGUGGCAUCGAUCGAAGUAACCUGACUCCGGUGGGGGGGGAGGGCGAGGAUGCGGAGGCCCAGGGGGAGGGAUCCGCAGCCUCCUCAGAGGGCAGGAGCCGGGCCGAGGCAGACACAGCCGCCGCCGCCGCGCGCUGGGCCCAUUCAUUUUUCAUGAGCUCCCCGUAGCUCUGCGGAGAGCGGUGAGCGGCGCUGGCCGGACCGCGGGGGGAGGGGGGAGGCCCAGGCCCUGCUCCGACCUCCAGCUCUGCCCCUCGGCGCCCCCCUCCCUCCGGGCAUGAGGACACUGUCCCGUGCCCCCCAAGCCCCCGGGACGGGGAGGCCUCCCCAUGCCUCUGGUGAUGGAGAUGGAGUCGAGCCCAGACAAUAACAGCUGGGUGGAAGAUCAGUGGGAACGCUGGCUCACGCACGACAUCAGCCUAGAGGAGUUUGAGGAUGAGGACCUCUCGGAGAUCACGGAUGAAUGCGGCAUCAGCCUGCACUGCAAGGACGCCCUGGCCCUACGGGUGAGCCCGGGGAGGGGGCAGGGGGCGCCGGGGGUCAGCUCCCA
Molecule: long non-coding RNA, 5496 nt
Organism: Sarcophilus harrisii (Tasmanian devil)
Lineage: Eukaryota; Metazoa; Chordata; Mammalia; Dasyuromorphia; Dasyuridae
Source: Ensembl